This 424-nucleotide ribosomal RNA is filed under the name uncultured Chryseobacterium sp. Its description in RNAcentral is "bacterial SSU rRNA". It matches the Rfam family "Bacterial small subunit ribosomal RNA", at positions 355 to 776 of the family's 1533-position model. Lineage: Bacteria; Pseudomonadati; Bacteroidota; Flavobacteriia; Flavobacteriales; Weeksellaceae. The record is from RNAcentral.
UGAGGAAUAUUGGACAAUGGGUGAGAGCCUGAUCCAGCCAUCCCGCGUGAAGGACGACGGCCCUAUGGGUUGUAAACUUCUUUUGUAUAGGGAUAAACCUACUCUCGUGAGAGUAGCUGAAGGUACUAUACGAAUAAGCACCGGCUAACUCCGUGCCAGCAGCCGCGGUAAUACGGAGGGUGCAAGCGUUAUCCGGAUUUAUUGGGUUUAAAGGGUCCGUAGGCGGAUCUGUAAGUCAGUGGUGAAAUCUCAUAGCUUAACUAUGAAACUGCCAUUGAUACUGCAGGUCUUGAGUAAAGUAGAAGUGGCUGGAAUAAGUAGUGUAGCGGUGAAAUGCAUAGAUAUUACUUAGAACACCAAUUGCGAAGGCAGGUCACUAUGUUUUAACUGACGCUGAUGGACGAAAGCGUGGGGAGCGAACAGG